This 69-nucleotide non-coding RNA is filed under the name Dorea longicatena. The record is from RNAcentral. Lineage: Bacteria; Bacillati; Bacillota; Clostridia; Lachnospirales; Lachnospiraceae.
AGCCGAAACGGUCAGCAAUGACCGUCACACCGGGGAUGACCGCCCGGUGUCUGAUGAUGGCAGGUCGGG